UACGGGGGGGGCAAGCGUUGUUCGGAAUUACUGGGCGUAAAGGGCUCGUAGGCGGCCAACUAAGUCAUACGUGAAAUCCCUCGGCUUAACCGGGGAACUGCGUCUGAUACUGGAUGGCUUGAGUUCGGGAGAGGGAUGCGGAAUUCCAGGUGUAGCGGUGAAAUGCGUAGAUAUCUGGAGGAACACCGGUGGCGAAGGCGGCAUCCUGGACCGAUACUGACACUGAGGAGCGAAAGCGUGGGGAGCGAACAGG
RNAcentral lists this ribosomal RNA (253 nucleotides) under uncultured bacterium. RNAcentral describes it as "partial 16S ribosomal RNA". It matches the Rfam family "Bacterial small subunit ribosomal RNA", at positions 524 to 776 of the family's 1533-position model. The record is from RNAcentral.